Molecule: long non-coding RNA, 227 nt
Organism: Myotis daubentonii (Daubenton's bat)
Lineage: Eukaryota; Metazoa; Chordata; Mammalia; Chiroptera; Vespertilionidae
Source: RefSeq, a predicted model, not a curated record
CCAGCCAGGUUCUGUCUAGGAUCUCCAGCCAGGUUCUGUAGCCAUGUUCUCUCGCUAGGUUCUCCAGCCAGGUUCUCCAGGUUCUCCAGCCAGUUUCGGUCGCCAGGUUCUCCAGCCAGGUUCUAUCCAGAUUCUCCUGCCAUGUUCUGUCUAGGUUCUCCAGCCAAGUUCUGUAGCCAGGUUCUGUCCAGGAUCUUUUGCCAUGUUCUCUCGCUAGGUUCUGUGUC